CUACGGGUGGCUGCAGUGAGGAAUUUUGCGCAAUGGGGGCAACCCUGACGCAGCAACGCCGCGUGAGUGAAGAAGGCCUUUGGGUCGUAAAGCUCUGUCAAUGGGGAAGAAGUUACUUGGUAUUAAUAGUGCCUUGUAUUGACGGUACCCAUGAAGGAAGCACCGGCUAACUCCGUGCCAGCAGCCGCGGUAAUACGGGGGGUGCAAGCGUUAUUCGGAAUUAUUGGGCGUAAAGGGCACGCAGGCGGUCCUGUCAGGCAGUUGUGAAAGCCCAGGGCUCAACCCUGGACGUGCAUUCGAAACAGCAGGACUAGAGUACGGGAGAGGAAAGGGGAAUUCCUGGUGUAGAGGUGAAAUUCGUAGAUAUCAGGAGGAACACCGGUGGCGAAGGCGCCUUUCCGGACCGAUAUUGACGCUGAGGUGCGAAGGUGUGGGUAGCGAACGGGAUUAGAUACCCUCGUAGUC
Molecule: ribosomal RNA, 465 nt
Filed under: uncultured bacterium
Lineage: Bacteria
Description: partial 16S ribosomal RNA
Rfam family: Bacterial small subunit ribosomal RNA
Source: RNAcentral